RNAcentral lists this ribosomal RNA (465 nucleotides) under Vreelandella stevensii. Its description in RNAcentral is "partial 16S ribosomal RNA". It matches the Rfam family "Bacterial small subunit ribosomal RNA", at positions 338 to 795 of the family's 1533-position model. The record is from RNAcentral. Lineage: Bacteria; Pseudomonadati; Pseudomonadota; Gammaproteobacteria; Oceanospirillales; Halomonadaceae.
CCUACGGGUGGCAGCAGUGGGGAAUAUUGGACAAUGGGCGAAAGCCUGAUCCAGCCAUGCCGCGUGUGUGAAGAAGGCCUUCGGGUUGUAAAGCACUUUCAGUGGGGAAGAAAGCCUUGGGGCUAAUACCCUCGAGGAAGGACAUCACCCACAGAAGAAGCACCGGCUAACUCCGUGCCAGCAGCCGCGGUAAUACGGAGGGUGCGAGCGUUAAUCGGAAUUACUGGGCGUAAAGCGCGCGUAGGCGGUCUGAUAAGCCGGUUGUGAAAGCCCCGGGCUCAACCUGGGAACGGCAUCCGGAAAUGUCACGGUAGAGGGCAGGAAAGGAAGGUAGAAUUCCCGGGGGAGCGGGGAAAUGCGUAGAGAUCGGGAGGAAUACCAGUGGCGAAGGCGGCCUUCUGGACUGACACUGACGCUGAGGUGCGAAAGCGUGGGGAGCAAACAGGAUUAGAUACCCCAGUAGUC